GACGAACGCUGGCGGCGUGCUUAACACAUGCAAGUCGAACGGUAAGGCCCUUCGGGGUACACGAGUGGCGAACGGGUGAGUAACACGUGGGUGAUCUGCCCUGCACUUCGGGAUAAGCCUGGGAAACUGGGUCUAAUACCGGAUAGGACCACUGCCUGCAUGGGUGGUGGUGGAAAGCUUUUGCGGUGUGGGAUGGGCCCGUGGCCUAUCAGCUUGUUGGUGGGGUGAUGGCCUACCAAGGCGACGUCGGGUAGCCGGCCUGAGAGGGUGACCGGCCACACUGGGACUGGGAUACGGCCCAGACUCCUACGGGAGGCAGCAGUGGGGAAUAUUGCACAAUGGGCGCAAGCCUGAUGCAGCGACGCCGCGUGAGGGAUGACGGCCUUCGGGUUGUAAACCUCUUUCAGCACCGACGAAGCGCAAGUGACGGUAGGUGCAGAAGAAGGACCGGCCAACUACGUGCCAGCCGCCGCAGUAA
RNAcentral lists this ribosomal RNA (478 nucleotides) under uncultured bacterium. Its description in RNAcentral is "partial 16S ribosomal RNA". It matches the Rfam family "Bacterial small subunit ribosomal RNA", at positions 28 to 523 of the family's 1533-position model. The record is from RNAcentral.